Molecule: ribosomal RNA, 496 nt
Filed under: uncultured bacterium
Lineage: Bacteria
Description: partial 16S ribosomal RNA
Rfam family: Bacterial small subunit ribosomal RNA
Source: RNAcentral
GAUGAACGCUGGCGGCGUGCCUAAUACAUGCAAGUCGAGCGAACAGACGAGGAGCUUGCUCCUCUGACGUUAGCGGCGGACGGGUGAGUAACACGUGGAUAACCUACCUAUAAGACUGGGAUAACUUCGGGAAACCGGAGCUAAUACCGGAUAAUAUAUUGAACCGCAUGGUUCAAUAGUGAAAGACGGUUUUGCUGUCACUUAUAGAUGGAUCCGCGCCGCAUUAGCUAGUUGGUAAGGUAACGGCUUACCAAGGCAACGAUGCGUAGCCGACCUGAGCGGGUGAUCGGCCACACUGGAACUGAGACACGGUCCAGACUCCUACGGGAGGCAGCAGUAGGGAAUCUGCCGCAAUGGGCGAAAGCCUGACGGAGCAACGCCGCGUGAGUGAUGAAGGUCUUCGGAUCGUAAAACUCUGUUAUUAGGGAAGAACAAAUGUGUAAGUAACUAUGCACGUCUUGACGGUACCUAAUCAGAAAGCCACGGCUAACUACGU